Molecule: long non-coding RNA, 536 nt
Filed under: Fukomys damarensis (Damara mole-rat)
Lineage: Eukaryota; Metazoa; Chordata; Mammalia; Rodentia; Bathyergidae
Description: lncRNA (ENSFDAG00000022588.1)
Source: RNAcentral
CUUGAACCUAAAUAUCAGCAGUUUGCUUGGGGUAUUUGGUAUUUGAUUAUGUUCCCAAAUGAUUUUUAGAGCAAAGACACAUUUUUUAUUACUUUAAGGCGGUAUCUUUUAAGUGUCUUAUAAAUAAAAAUUGUAAAUAUUUACCUGUUAUAUCUUUGCAAUUUAUUGCUUUUUAAGGUAGAGAAUCCAGGGAGUUGAAAGUCCAGCCCCAUGCUUUCCCUGAACGAUUUUAGCACAUUUUUAAUCAUUGGACACCACCUUCUCCAGAUGGUAAAGAUCAUGUACACAGACUUUCAGAACUCUAAGCGGAGAUGAUUGCAUCAUUUGAACCUGAGGUGCCUUAGAUGCUCUACUCAUCUUGAUGGGGUUUGGAGUUUCCCACUGCUUACUCAGAGCUUUUUAAUUGCUUUAGUUAUUUACUGUUUCUUUUUGCAAAAUCCUUCCUGCCACUUAAACUAAAAACCAAAGAUUUGUUUUUUAUUCAUAAGCAAAUUGUAGAAAAAUUGCCUUAUUUUCAGAAACGUUUUUUCUUUGAA